RNAcentral lists this transfer RNA (94 nucleotides) under Ipomoea nil (Japanese morning glory). It matches the Rfam family "tRNA". From Rfam's summary of the family: Transfer RNA (tRNA) molecules are approximately 80 nucleotides in length. Their secondary structure includes four short double-helical elements and three loops (D, anti-codon, and T loops). Lineage: Eukaryota; Viridiplantae; Streptophyta; Magnoliopsida; Solanales; Convolvulaceae. The record is from Rfam by way of RNAcentral.
CCGACCUUAGCUCAGUUGGUAGAGCGGAGGACUGUAGUUGGAGUCGUUCUUGGCUGAUAUCCUUAGGUCGCUGGUUCGAAUCCGGCAGGUCGGA